UAUAAGGUAUCAUAGCUUGGGAAUGAGCAGAACUUUGAAUUCUGUUAGAAAAGUUCGAGACUUUUUCUUAUAG
RNAcentral lists this transfer RNA (73 nucleotides) under Neomphalidae sp. Hatoma. RNAcentral describes it as "tRNA-Gln". It matches the Rfam family "tRNA". From Rfam's summary of the family: Transfer RNA (tRNA) molecules are approximately 80 nucleotides in length. Their secondary structure includes four short double-helical elements and three loops (D, anti-codon, and T loops). Lineage: Eukaryota; Metazoa; Mollusca; Gastropoda; Neomphalida; Neomphalidae. The record is from RNAcentral.